CAGUCGCCACGGUAAUGCGAAGGGUGCAAGCGUUAAUCGGAAUUACUGGGCGUAAAGCGUGCGUAGGCGGUGAGUUAAGUCUGCUGUGAAAUCCCCGGGCUCAACCUGGGAAUGGCAGUGGAUACUGGCUCGCUAGAGUGUGUCAGAGGAUGGUGGAAUUCCCGGUGUAGCGGUGAAAUGCGUAGAGAUCGGGAGGAACAUCAGUGGCGAAGGCGGCCAUCUGGGACAACACUGACGCUGAGGCACGAAAGCGUGGGGAGCAAACAGGAUUAGAUACCCCAGUAGUCCCUGUCUCUUAUAC
This 301-nucleotide ribosomal RNA is filed under the name uncultured bacterium. RNAcentral describes it as "partial 16S ribosomal RNA". It matches the Rfam family "Bacterial small subunit ribosomal RNA", at positions 509 to 807 of the family's 1533-position model. The record is from RNAcentral.